GAAUAUUAGUCAAUGCUCGAAAGAGUGAACUAGCUAACUGAAAUCAAUUAUAAAAAUUGAUAACAUAAGGGAAAAUAAUGAUAUUACCUUAUUAUUAGUGUCGUCCAAAACUGGUGCCAGAAGACUCGGUAAGGCCAGAGACACAAACGUUAAUCGUCUUAAUCAGGCGUAAAGGGUUUGUAGGCGGCUUUAAAAUUUACUUAUAAAUAAAAGGUGAAGAAACAAAGCUAGAAUCAAAUAGAGGAUAUAUGAAAGAAUGCUUAGAGUAGGUCUGAUAUCCUUAGAUACUAAGUAGAAUAUUAAAGGCGAAAGCUUUUUUCCAUUAAUGAUUGACGCUCAGAAACGAAGGUGAGGAUAGGAAAUAGGAUUAGAUACCCAAAAUACCCCUCUCUGUCAACGAUGAAUGGUAGUUAUUAGUAAAAAUUUAUUAAUGGCAAUGUUAACACGAUAACCAUUCCGCCUUGCGAGUACAACUGCAAAGUUGAAAACAAAAAAAUUAGUCGGUUUCGGAGCAAACGAAGUGAAGCAUGUUAUUUAAUUC
Molecule: ribosomal RNA, 541 nt
Filed under: Russula gigasperma
Lineage: Eukaryota; Fungi; Basidiomycota; Agaricomycetes; Russulales; Russulaceae
Description: mitochondrial SSU rRNA
Rfam family: Bacterial small subunit ribosomal RNA
Source: RNAcentral